AGGAUGCCGGUUUUUCUCAUGCAAUAAUCUCAAGUCACUAGAUGGCACAUACUAAAAUUACUAAUUCAGCUAUAACACUAGAAAGUUUCAGAGCCCAAUAAUGACAUUAUCCUUUGCAUUUACUAGUCGGAAAGAAAAUAGCCUCCACCCUGCUAAUGAUCCCUCAGGGGAGGCAGCAUUAAGAGGCAACACUUGCUGCAGCAGAGAAAAGCCACGGCUGCCGCUGCUGCAGCACACAGCGUUGGCCAAAGAGUAUCUGCAGCCUGCAGACAUCAACUAAUCUAAGUGGGUGAGAAAGGAAGCCUCCCCGCAUGGGAACUCAGCUGAUUCACAGAGGGAGGGGAACAGCUUCACAGUGAAAGCAAACCUCUGAGCUUCUCAGAACCCCAAUAACAUCUAUGCAUUCUCUGGGAGAGAAUUUGCAGAAAGGAAGGAACAAACAUAUCCAAACAGAAAGACACGUAGUUGGAAACAUUCUCUGAAUGUGGCAUUUCACAGUGAAAACACAGGGAAGAUGGUUUAAGAAGCUCUCAGCCAGCUUCCUCACUAGCAGGCAACUAUGGAUUCUUCUCACUUCAUUUUUCUGUAACUUCUUUGCCUCCCUCCUCCCUGCUGAAUGCUUAGGGCCAGCUUCUGAGCUUCUUCACUGAAGCCACUGAAAACAGAUAAGAAAGCAAAAAGGGGCCCUUCACUCUUCUUCCAUAAUUGCUUUUUCUCCCCUUCCAUUCCACGCUCCUGUCCAGCUCAGCUACUGUCUAAUCGGCCUGCAGUGACAGCCACAAAAAUGGCAUUAACCAUCUUUCUCCUCACUUACCUUUUGCUCGCUGCCAAGUGAAAGUCUUAUAAUUCUUGCCCUGGAAAAACUCUGUCAUCUCAGAGAGAAAGCAACUUUUCCAUUACUCUCUCCCACUCCCUGAUCCUGCCUCUGCCAGUGGAGAGUGUGAAAAUGCAAUGCUCCAGGUUUGUUAACCACAGAGCACAUUAAUUUAUGACAGGGAAUACGACCUGGGAGGAAAAUGAGGA
Molecule: long non-coding RNA, 1023 nt
Filed under: Dromaius novaehollandiae (emu)
Lineage: Eukaryota; Metazoa; Chordata; Aves; Casuariiformes; Dromaiidae
Description: lncRNA (ENSDNVG00000005541.1)
Source: RNAcentral